RNAcentral lists this long non-coding RNA (1644 nucleotides) under Musa acuminata (dwarf banana). Its description in RNAcentral is "long non-coding RNA (MACU_LNC003478)". The record is from RNAcentral. Lineage: Eukaryota; Viridiplantae; Streptophyta; Magnoliopsida; Zingiberales; Musaceae.
AGGUUUCCAUCCUGGUCAUGAAUUAACAGUCCCUUAAAUUUUAGUCUGAUCCAGUCUAGACUCUGGACAAAAGGAAAAUUACAAGUAUCUUGUCUUUUCUCAAGUACAGAAGAACAAUUUAAACUGUUACAGUAACUGGAACAGGUUACUCCAGCAUCAGUUCUAUUAUUAUACAUUUACUAACAAUCUACUGCUAUUCUGCAAUAUAGAGAUCUCGGUAAGGAAGAAAUUUUUCUCUUGUUUAUGGUAUUACAAGUUACAAAUCCUUUUACUUCUUUUAUCAAUUGUAAGCAUAGGUAAAGGAGACUGAGCCUUAAUGUAAUGCAAUAUCCAACCUCAUCAAUGGCUGAUUAAAAGACAGGACACCAAUUAAACAGUCCAGAAUGUGGAGGAUCAUGUAUGGCAUUACAAUAAUAAGAAAACAGGUAAACUAGUUAAAAGCAACUAGGAAACUAAGCUAAAGUAUGAUUAUCAAGACAAAAUAUCGGUAAAGAUUGUCGCUCAAAUAUCACAUUGUUAGAGAAAUGAAUGAUAUAAGGAUAUCAUAGAACAAGUAUGAUGUUGAAUACAAUUGCUUGAAGGACAACAAACCUCACCAAUAUCCAAGCAGAGCAAUAAAUGAAGGAACUGUGAUCAUAGAAAAACACUAUUCUAGCAGACAAAAGGACACCAAGGAGCAACUAUGACGUGAAACAAUCUGGCCCAGGAAGGACAAUGAAAAUAAUUUUAAUAGAAAUUUUAAUUCUGUGUCAAAAAAGAAGAGCCAAGAGCAAAAGAAAAACUCUAGAGCAGCAGUAGUACUGACUAUGGUUGAAAAUGAAGUUACAUCAAAAUAAAUGGAUGUUCAGUGAGUGGUAGCUCCACAGGUUCUUCAAAAAGGCCUUCCAUGUUUGAGACACAAUGAUUGACAAUCAUUAAUUUGUGACCUUGCUAAGAGGAAGAAAAUGUAGCCGAAAACAUGCAUGAUAAAUCCAACUAUCAGCACCAUACACCAUAUAAUAUGCAAAGAAACUACUACUUACCCAGAAGGAAAAAGAGUAGGGAAUCAUCAAUGAAGGUAAAGAUGGUAUAAGGAAUAAAGAGAGAUGACACCUUUACAUCUAGAUUUCUUUUUGCAAUAAUUAGAUUCCCAGAGAAGAAUAUUUAUGACCUCCACAAAUAUCACAUAUUUGAUGGCAAUGUCGAUGAAACAAAGCUUGGAAAGUUCAGAAAGCCUAUAUUCAUGAUCGAUACCCCAUUAAUCAGAAAGCCAAAGUUUCAUGAACUAAGAAAAUCUACUAUGAAUUUUCCAAGGUGACAAAAAAGAACCAGAAGAACAACAAGAACCACAUCAAUUACGGAGGAAUUCUAUAAACAAAUCAGACACAAAAAGAUGACGUUGCAGACCAUAAUUUCUUGUGAGAUCUAUUUGGUUCAACUAUAACCUAGAAAAUCUAAUAUGUUGCAUGAAACUUAAUCACAGCAACCACCGGACCCUAAUUAUCGCAGGAACACCGCAUCACUACAUCUUGUCCAACCUCCGGGUAAAAGCCACGAAAAGAUCAUAAAAUGAAACCUAAUGACACCAGAGCAAGAAAAGAAUCCAACAAGAAACCUUCCUACAAGGCAAACCAAGAAGCAGAGGCAAGGCAAGGGAAAUCCAAC